GGAAUCUAAUACAAAGAUCCCUUACAGCCGAUAGGACUGGAAAAACACUCAAACCUUAAAAGAGAACCCAUUCCUAAGGUCCUCAGUCUUUUUCCUGUCCUGCAGCCCUUAAGAAGGAAGUGCCUACCUCCCUACAAGCUAAGUUGCUUCUAUUUUAAAUUUACAUUUGGGAUUUUGUCUUAUUUUAUGUUGCUGAAUUUCUGGUUGUUGGGUCCUUACCUGUCCCCUCUUAGGACUUUAACAUGGUCCGUUAGUUACCCGUGUACUUACCUGCCUUUUUCCUCAGUCCCCGUGUGUAUUCCUG
This is a non-coding RNA of Pelobates cultripes (western spadefoot toad), 304 nucleotides long. The record is from the annotation of a GenBank genome assembly. Lineage: Eukaryota; Metazoa; Chordata; Amphibia; Anura; Pelobatidae.